CUGGCAGUAAACGGUGCACGCUUGGUGUGCGGGGAAUCGACCCCCUGCGUGCCGGAGCUAACGCGUUAAGCGUGCCGCCUGGGGAGUACGGUCGCAAGAUUAAAACUCAAAGAAAUUGACGGGGACCCGCACAAGCGGUGGAGUAUGUGGCUUAAUUCGAUGCAACGCGAAGAACCUUACCUGGGCUUGACAUGUAAUGAACAACAUGUGAAAGCAUGCGACUCUUCGGAGGCGUUACACAGGUGC
RNAcentral lists this ribosomal RNA (246 nucleotides) under uncultured bacterium. Its description in RNAcentral is "partial 16S ribosomal RNA". It matches the Rfam family "Bacterial small subunit ribosomal RNA", at positions 796 to 1041 of the family's 1533-position model. RNAcentral also lists the same sequence under 1 other name. The record is from RNAcentral.